RNAcentral lists this ribosomal RNA (497 nucleotides) under uncultured bacterium. RNAcentral's name for it is "partial 16S ribosomal RNA". It matches the Rfam family "Bacterial small subunit ribosomal RNA", at positions 28 to 507 of the family's 1533-position model. The record is from RNAcentral.
GAUGAACGCUGGCGGCGUGCCUAAUACAUGCAAGUCGAGCGAACGGACGAGAAGCUUGCUUCUCUAAUGUUAGCGGCGGACGGGUGAGUAACACGUGGAUAACCUACCUAUAAGACUGGGAUAACUUCGGGAAACCGUAGCUAAUACCGGAUAAUAUUUUGAACCGCAUGGUUCAAAAGUGAAAGACGGUCUUGCUGUCACUUAUAGAUGGAUCCGCGCUGCAUCAGCUAGUUGGUAAGGUAACGGCUUACCAAGGCAACGAUGCAUAGCCGACCUGAGAGGGUGAUCGGCCACACUGGAACUGAGACACGGUCCAGACUCCUACGGGAGGCAGCAGUAGGGAAUCUUCCGCAAUGGGCGAAAGCCUGACGGAGCAACGCCGCGUGAGUGAUGAAGGUCUUCGGAUCGUAAAACUCUGUUAUUAGGGAAGAACAUAUGUGUAAGUAACUGUGCACAUCUUGACGGUACCUAAUCAGAAAGGCACGGCUAACUACGUG